This is a non-coding RNA of Caenorhabditis elegans, 21 nucleotides long. NCBI's taxonomy places the organism in Eukaryota, Metazoa, Nematoda, Chromadorea, Rhabditida, Rhabditidae. The record is from Ensembl.
UAUUCAACUCGAAAAAUAUUC